This is an RNA transcript of Carassius carassius (crucian carp), 2323 nucleotides long. RefSeq lists it as uncharacterized. NCBI's taxonomy places the organism in Eukaryota, Metazoa, Chordata, Actinopteri, Cypriniformes, Cyprinidae. The record is from RefSeq and is a predicted model, not a curated record. The transcript is spliced from 5 exons.
AGGUAUAAAGAAACCUGAGUCAUCAAAAAUGUAUCUCACAGAUUUGGCAAAUGAACUCUCACAAUUACAGGAGGGGUUUACAUUUGAGGGGAAAAGGCUCACUUUAAAAGUUUAUUCGAUGAUCUGUGACGCACCGGCAAAAUCCUUUGUGAAAGUCACAAAGGCUUUUAACGGUUACUAUGGCUGUGACAAGUGUAUUCAGAGUGGGGUGUACCUCAAUCACCGCAUGACAUACCCCCUCAUAAAUAGCCAAACACGGUCUGAUGAGGCAUUUGCCAGGCAGGAGGAUGAGGAACACCACCAUGGUCCUCAUGCCUUCACAAAUGUACAUUUUGGUUUGGUGUCCCAAGUCCCACUGGACUACAUGCACCUGGUGUGCUUGGGGGUGGUAAGGCGCCUUAUCUUUCUGUGGAUGAAAGGUCCUCUGACUGUCCGUUUACCAGGGAGAGACGUGGACAGAAUAUCCAGAAAUCUUCUAAGCUUAAGACCCCACAUUCCUUCGGAAUUUGCUACAAGGCCAAGCGCACUGAACAAAGUGGAUAGGUGGAAGGCGACGGAGUUCCGUCAGUUUCUCUUAUACAGAGGGCCGGUGGUGUUGCGUGAGGCGUUAAGUCCUGAUCUAUAUGUAAACUUCCUGCUGCUGUCGACAGCCAUGGCAUUGAUGGUCUCCCUUUUCUUUGCCAGAAAGUACAACGAAUAUGCCAACAGCCUCCUUCAUGCUUUUGUGGAACAUUUUGCCCGCCUGUAUGGAAAUGAUCAGCUAGUGUACAAUGUGCAUGGGUUGACCCAUCUUGCACAGGAUGCAAAACAUUUUGGCAAUCUGGAAUGUAUAUCAUCCUUUCCAUAUGAAAAUUAUUUGCAAAAACUCAAGGGUUUUGUACGCAAACCCUCAAAUCCCCUGGCCCAAAUAGUCAGACGCCUGUCCAAGGGAUUAAAUGGUGGUGUUACAAGUGACCAGCCCAUCAAAUUGUGCAAAGAACAUGCCCGAGGCCCUAUACAAGUACAAAACUUGAUCUGUCACCAGUAUGACGAAAUGAUAUCAGAAAGGUUCACCAUGACCACAACAUGUCGAAACAACACAUUUCUUAUGGGCAAAAAUGUGUGUCAAAUAAUUCAUAUAAUUGACUGUCACGGUGAUAUCAUAAUUGCCUACAGACAGUACGGCAUGGUUGAAACAUUUUUUACCUAUCCUUUUAAUUCGGACAUUUUAAACAUUGUGAUACCAGCUGACCUAGGCCAUGAGAUAAAAUUCUCCAAACUGUCAUCUUUCACACAAAAAUGCAUGGCUGUCCCUUUCAAUGAGGCAAUGGUGGUUAUACCAUUGUUUCAUAUGAAGGACUAGACUUUAUUUUUGAAAAUCAUAGUUCAGUUCAGUUCAGUUAUGUAUUUUGUUAAUCAUCUUAUUUUUUACACAAUUAUUUUUAAAAGACAUUUUGUGGAGUAAUUUUCCUCGACGAGGACGUUACAGAAGUUGUGCCGAGGUCAUGGGUUAAAGGUGAUGAAUGUUUUUGGCCAACAUUCAUUUCCGAGGAAAAAAACCAAAAGGCCAUAAAGAGGCAUGAAAUGCCAGGCCUUGGCUGGAAAAUCUUCAAAAUAAGAACACUCUUUGAAAAAGUAGAUGACUUCAGUAAGGCAAGGCAAAAGCUGAAGGACUACAACAGAAAUGGAACGGCAGUCCUCCAGUCAGAGGAUGAGGGCCCCAUGGCAAAAAGGAGAAGAAAAGCGACACAUUACCCAGGAUUUGAAAACGGCAGUACUGACUCUGAAACUGAGCAGACUCCAAAAAGAAGACCAGAGUCUCGGCCUCGGCCUCAACCUCUCCCUAUUAGCGCUACCCUUCCUAGUCUCCCUCCAGCCCCCCUCUCGGACAUUGCAGUGGACAUGGGUCAGGAGUCUCUGGACAACACAGGACAGGGAACCUAUACAGACAUAAGCUGGAAUGUGAGGAGGGAGUCAGACCCCUUCAAUGCGGCUCAGCUACAUGGCCUAUUGCGUUUGGAAAACCUAAAGCAGCAGGUUGCCCAACUCGCCACCACCGUGAACUUGCUCAUGGCCAAGGUCAAUAACGGCCUCCAGCCAGCAGCCUUUGAGUGGUGCAGAGCUGGACCGCUUUGAGCCCUGGCUGGCGGACCCUGCAACGAUAGGCAGAAACAUGCCCUUGUAAGCAUAUUCCCCCAAUAUGUUCUCAUUGUACUCAAGACACUUGUUUCAUCUUACACUAAAUCUAAUUAAUCUAAAGUAAUAUUUAUUGCUACAGUAGACUAAGCUCUUUAUGAUGAUGUAACUGUAAUCUAAUUCAUCGAAAGUAAUAUUUAUUGCUAGA